Rattus norvegicus (Norway rat) is the source of this 27478-nucleotide non-coding RNA. NCBI's taxonomy places the organism in Eukaryota, Metazoa, Chordata, Mammalia, Rodentia, Muridae. The record is from RefSeq and is a predicted model, not a curated record.
GACGCAGCGACCAGGCUCCGGGCAGGGGGGCGGCGGGAGCGGUGCGCCGAGCCCGGAGGGGACCUGGCACCCCGGGGGAGCGCGCGCUCGGGGAGAGGGCGAGACGCGGGGUCCCCGGGACCGGUGCACGCGCGCGCGAGCCUGUGGUGGUGCCCUGAGCGAACGGCACCCCCGCCCCUCCCCCCGCGGCCCCCCACAAAUGUUGCAAACUUUUGAAAGCCAGUGCUGGGCUUGCGGGAGAGGGCGAUGGGGGACGGACCCGAGCGUUGACAGCUAGGCGACUCCAACCCCACCUCCCCCUUGAUUGCAUGUUUUAUUUUCUGCAAAGACCAGCUAUCCAAAUUAAAUACGAUUUCCCCCACCAAAAAGAAACCGAGAUGGGGGAGUGGGGGGAAAGAAACUUUUAAAGCGGUAGUGUCCUUUUAAGAAGGGGGAGGGGGUCUGUUUGUGGCUACUCGCUUCCUCAGUUACCUUUUCUGCUUUUGACAGUUUCUCUCAUACCCACCCCCACCACCCCGCCGUAGGAAUCGAGGCGUGUGUUCGAAUCCUCCCUCUCCCGGAAAAGCUUGAGGGUUCGGGAGGAGCGGGAGACCUAGAAGUCUCGGGGAGGAAAGGGGGCGCUCCUGGGGCUAAUAGGGGCGAAGCGGGCAGCUUUUCUACUGCAGCUCUCCGGGUCGGUUUGGAGGACAAGGCAGAGGGAUCCGGGUCCCAGCGCGCGGGAUGUUGUGGAGUUGCCUUGGGGGGCCGGGCAAAAGGGAGAAGCGCAACUUUGUAACCUGCUGCGGGUUCGGAGCCCGCAGCCCUAGAGGAGGCUGGCAGGGGGCGUGUGCGGCGCGCGGAGGGAGGGCGAGGUGGAGUGGGGCACUCCACGCGCGAUCGGAGGGAGCGGCUGCGAGGCAAACAAGCCGAGAGAGAAAGCCGAGAAAAGCACCCAAACUUAUUUCUGUGCUGGGAAUCCUCCGCUCGCCGCGAUGCCCAGCGUUUCUGCGGGAACCUGGGGUUGAUCAGAGUUGAGUGCUGGUUGGCUAGGGCUAAGGAGGCAGCCCUUCUUGGGCCUUUGGUUCAUUUCGUGUUGGUGUCUGGAGUGUAUAAAAGAGGGGGCCUGGGGAGACAAGGGUGCUUGCUCCCCUCCGGGCGUUUUCCUAAAGUGGCCUGACCCGGGGAGGCGGGGUGGGGGGUGGGGGACUGACUCCUUUCUUAAAGGUGUCAGAAGCUGCUGUGGGAUCCCCACCCCCUCCUUCGGGGGGUGGGGGAUUAUUUAUUUGAAUGCUCCUGGAGUUUGCACAGAGCAGGAGGAAGCUGCAGCUUUAAUUACUGUUGUAAAUAAUGUAUAAAUCACGCCUGUCACUCCGAAGGAAGCGGGCUCCUGCGAGCCACCCGGGGACUUGGGACAGAGUAGAUCUCUCCGGGCAGGUUCGGCGGCUAGGGGACCUGGGGGAAGGCGAAAGGGGGACCGAAAGCCCCUCCCUUCCUCUUGGAUGUGCUAGUUGGAGGUAGGAACAUGGCUGAUCAUGUGCUGGCUGUUUUACAGUAUCUCCCCUCCCGCCCCACCUUAGCCACACCCCCUGUCCGAGAGCUUUCCCAUUCACGGAAUUCAAGUACAGUAAAAGCCAUCAGGAUGACAUAUGCUGGGGGUGGGGGGGUACCAUUUAAUUAAAGGCGAUUUCCGAAGAGUGACUGCGUUGAGGUUCUGUUUGAACCAGAGAAAUGGGGGCGACAAGGACCGGGACGAAAGGAAAGGGGGGGUGAAGACUUGGGGUGGGGGGCGGCCGCAACGGACCACCAGUUCUGCGACUUUGUGCACAGCUUUUGGCUGCAAAGAGUCUAUUUAGAGCCCGAGAUUUGGAAUGCGAGCGGGUUAUGUAACAGGGUUAAUCAGAAAUGCUGGAGAAAAUCCCCUUCAUGUGUUUGGAGGCUUUUUUUUUUUUUAAAGAAGGGGUGCACGGUGUCUAGUAGCGGCUCUCAGUUCUAGUUUGUGCCUUUUUUCUUUCUCUAGUCCCUCACCUCCCCUGCUUUAUUAACAUCUUCAGGUGUCAUUUCUGCCAGGUGUGUUCUUGCAUUAGAUGGGGAGGGGGGGCGGUGUGCAGGCUGCAGAACCAACUACAAAUCCGUAACUUGCAAAUUAUAUAAAGCCAGGGAAUUUGGUGCCCCUCCCCCCUCCCCGCCUCCUCAAAGCUCCAAGGAGCCAAAAUAGAAGCAAUGUGCAUCUUCCAGGAUGGCCCGCUGACCCAUAUCCCUCUACCCCCUAGAGCCCCCACUCGCAUUCCUUGAAGAAACCCUGGCUGUUUCUCCAACGAGAUUUAAGGGGAAGGGGGGAAGUAAGGCCCAGACACUCCACCUCCAUCCUGCACGCAGGCACUGGGUUACAUAACAGUCUGAGUGGAAAAAAAGGAAGGUCAGACAUGGAGGCAUCCUUUAGCCAACACAGCAGUAGUAAUAUCUUCCAGGAAUUACUUGCAGUUUCAGACCUUGACCUCAGAUGUAGUAUCUACUUCUCAGGGUUGCCAAUCUUGGUGAGAGAGAGAGAGAGAGAGAGAGAGAGAGAGAGAGAGAGAGAGAGAGAGAGAGAGAGAGGGAGAGAGGGAGGGAGGCAGAGAGAGAGAGAGAGAGAGAGAGAGAGAGAGAGAGAGAGAGAGAGAGAGAGAGAGAGAGCGCGAGCGCGCAUCUGGGAGAAAGAGAGACUGUGUGAGUAUGCUGGGUAGUUGAGAGUGCUGUGCAAAUGGGAAAUGUUUGGGUUUUUAGAUGAUGUAAUGGAGUUGGCAGAAUAUGCAACUCGGCUCCUGGAGUGUAAGCAUAAGAAAAUUGGAGCUGGCAUCCCAUAUUAAUGUUGCAUAAAUUACAAUAUCAGAAAGAAAUUAACCUACACACUAGGUGAUUAUGCCUCUUAAAUACUUAAAACAUAAAAACACAGGCUCAAAGCACAAAACAAACAUCACCACCUCACAAUUAGCCUGCUCCACCUCCUGGAAGGUGAGUGGAGGUCCUGGAUGAAUGGGAAGCUUCCUGACUUAGGAGGUGUUUUCCUAGGGGCUUUGAGGGCUUGUUUGCAGCCAGCAGAUGCUUGGAGUCUAUAGGGAUUGAGGGUAUAGUCUCGUGACAUUGAUGUGACCUCAUGAGAUCUUACCGGGGUGGAUUUGAGGCUAUUGCUACAUUCCUACGUCCUAAGAAUCUAAGUAUGAAACGGAUUAGAGGCCUUCAGUGCCUGGGCUUUCAAAAUCAGAUGUGUGGUUUUAUAAUCUGGAAGUUGAUCUCCCUGCACUCUUACAACUCCAAGGGAAUGGUGGCAGUCUUAAUGAAACCCUUCAAUUUUCUAGAAAGUAUUAAUGAUGGCUGGGGUCAUUCAGUCUCCCCCCCCCCGUCCCCCCCCCCUGUCUUUACAGCGCAUGAAAGAGGCGCACGAAAAUAAAAGACAGACAAGAACCAACAUGGCGAGUAAAAAUGAAAUGGAAAUAAAAAAAAAACACCGUGAAUCUUUAAUUUAACAUGGCUUUCAGGGGCUAUAGGGAGCUGUGAGCAUUGUGAAUAAGUGUUGUUAGGAACCCUUAUCCAGAAUCUCCAUAUUACAUGAGCACCAGAAGCUCACAUAUUUUACGUCACCAAAGUUACCAUCACAGGACAUGCACCAUGUACUGGGUUCCCAGUGCGGUGUGCAAGGCUUUUAGGGCAGGCCAACCUAAGAGAAAAAAAUCGAAACCAUAGGAUGGGAUUAGCACUGAGAAGCUGGGUAAGAUUGAGGGAUAGCCCCUGGAAGCUCAGCUGAGAGUGACUUAAAAAAUCAAUUAACAGGGCCUGCAUGGCUCUGCAAACUGAGGAGAAUGGGGAGGGGGUGCCAGAACUGCCACACUUUGGAAAUGCUUCCCCCUCCCUUCCUCUCUCCAGUCCCUGCUGAGCCAUGUUCUGGAAGGUUCUCUUAUUUAGCGGUAUGGCAACUUUUCUACAGAUGAAUUUUCAGAUUACCUUCUUUAGGGAAUGAAUGAUAGUUUCUCUGGCUGGGAGAAAAAUCCUUUGCCAGAGGAAUAGGAUGAUUUUUUUUUUUAAAUAAAAGACUUUAAUUUUCUGGUAAAUUGCUCAUAAAGCCAUUUAUAAUUAUACCCUUUUAAAUGCAAAGGAAUAAUUUUAGAAAAUGCAUUUCAUGAUAGUUAGGAUAACCUUUCUGUUGCCUCAUCCUAAUUUCUUGUAAAGAGUUGAAUUAUUAAUCUAGAAUUUGAGUCCUGAGUGGAUAAAAUACUUACAGCACACCCAUUCUCUCUUUUCUAAAUCACACUGGCAUUCUGAGGAGCCCUGGUCUUUAGAACAUGUCUGUCUGUGACACUGAAGCAUGGCUGAUGCCCGUAUAGAAGCUGGGUUCUGACAGCACGUCUCCACUUGGCUGUUCAGGACACAUAGAUGUGUGCGCUGGGAGUGGGGCAGCACACCCCUGUGAAGCAAGACAGACUCCUGAAGUGGAAUGGACAGGCACAAGGAUAUUAAUGGUCAGAAUCUCCCCUAAGGAUGACAAUGUUCCGAGGACUUGUGGAGACAGCUUAAUCACUUUGGGGAAAAAACCAGAAAGUUAUCUCCGUCUGAAGUUAACCCUUGAUUUGGAAGUAAGAAAAGUCCAUCCUCUGGUCCAUGUCAGAUAAAGCCACACAUUAUUCCCUCUAAAGUCCUCAUUUUGCAUUUGGGAACUUGUGUGACUUUGGGAAUGCUCUCGGAGUUGGACGUUAGUGACAAUUAGAUUCACAGAACACGAACUCCAUGUUUUGAAAUGCUAUUGUGUAUACACAUUGUUGUGUGUGGGCAUUUGUGUACAUGAAUGUGUGAGCAUGUGGGACCAGAGGUCAGUGUCGGGUGUCUUCCUCGAUUGCUCUCCACUUUACUUUUUGAGACAAAGUCUUUCACUGGUCUUAGAGGUCAGUGAUUCUGCUAGGCUGGUUGACCAUUGAGCUCCAGGGAUCCUCCUGUCUCAACCUCCCCAGUGUUGGGAUUGUAAGUGUGUGCUCCCACACCUGACUUUUGAAUAUGGGUUCUGGGCACUUCACCAGCCGAGUCAGCUCUCAGUCCUCGUGUCCUGUGAAGUAUUACAGCACGUGUUACUUUUUCAAAAAGUUCUCCUCUUUCCUCCUGUGCACCACCCCGCUCAGGCCUCUGUGUGUCUUCUUAGCUUCUGUGAGAACUUCUGAGUCUCAGGAGGCAAAAUGCAAAGGCGCAUUUUAGAGAUGGGUACAGGCAUGUGCAUGUGUGCUCGUGUGUGCUCUAUGUGUGUGCGUGUGUUUAUGCCCUAAUAUGACAUCAUCUGCUCCUCUGCCCCUCACUCUCUAUCUUCUAUGAGAUGAUACAGGGACUUCUAAAGCCACUGUCUUCCACUCUUACGGAGAGAGAGAGAUCCGUGACGCACCCAUCCAGAUGAGUUAUCAAUUCUCUUCUUAGAGUAAGGAGACUUUGAACUUGGAAGGACUUCAGCUACCAGAGCAUGCACUAAUCUAGAACAUAGGCAAUGUUUCCAAGUCCAAAGAGCUCCCUUGCUCUGGGUUUAGACUAGUGGUCCCGCUUUCCUUCUCAUCCCUUCCCCUUCUCUUUCCUAUAUUUAUUUUUGUGCCUAAUUCUUCAUGGGAAAUGUUGUUUAGAACAAAGCUGUUAAAACUUUUCAACCAUGUUUUAGGCUGUAUAUUAAUAGAAUUGAGUGAUUUUUAGGUUGAUGCUUUAAAAAUAACCCAGAUGAUUGGUGUUCGUCUUGGCUGCUAUAUAAUAAACCACAGUUUCACAUUUUACUCUGAGGGUACCAAGGCACUGCCAAUGAAUUGAUUGUUUUUCUGUCUGACAUUAGAUUAACACCAUUAUUAUUAUUAUUAUUAUUAUUAUUAUUAUUAUUAUGUCUUUCCUUUUUGAGUAAUUUUUUCUUUUGUUGCUAUGUGGUUUCCUUCCUUAGCCUAGAGACUCAGAGAGAGAGAGAGAGAGCGCGCAAGCCGGAAAGAACUGAGAAUGGAGCUGGCGUUGCAGACCAGCGGAGGUCUGUCCUGAUCCCACCUGGAAAUGGUUUCUUUCAUUCUUUUUUUCUUUCUGUGAAAUCUUUAGCAGAACGAUUUGCUUCCUUGUUUUCUAUGUUGCAAGAAGCAAGUCGGAAAUUCAAUUAGUUGUUCUGGGUUACUGGAGGUUUUAUUAAUAAAAACAUUGUCGACCAGAUUCUAAAAGGCUUUCGUUUGUUUAUCUACUUACUUGUCUGUUUAUUUGAGGCAGGGUCUCACUGUGUAGCCUAGGUCUCAGAGUGAUCCUCCUUCCUUAGCCUCAGAAGUGCUGAGAUUACAGUUGUCUGCUAGAUUCUUCUUACUUCUUUCUCUAGAGUACUGGUUCUUAACUUCCUAAUGCUGUGACCCUUUCACACAUUUCCUCAUGUUGUGGUGACUCCCAACCAUAACGUUAUUUUGUUGCUACUCUAUAACUAUAAUUUUGCUGCUGUUAUGAAUGUGAAUGUGACUAUGAAUGUGAAUAUCUGAUAUGCCAUCCCCAAAUGGGUCACGACCCAUAGGUUGAAAACUGCUGCCCUAGAAUUAUAGAAGAUGCUAAAUCCUCUUUAAGUAUUCAGGGAGGCAAUUCUGUUCACAAGUCCUGUAAUGUGGCUUCGUCUCCUGUAAGGGGUGGAAACCACCACUAACUUGACCAUUCCCUUGGGGACAUUGGAAGCAUCUCUGUAGUAGGAAAUGCAUGUACCUGGAAGGUUAGGAAGCUCCAGGAUUCAAGCAUGUAGUAAAGAAUAUUUAGAGGCCCCCAGAGGAAGUCCUUUCCAAGCUGUGGCCUUUGGGAAGCAUCUCUGGACCUCAGAGCUGGCUCCCCCAGCAACAUCAUCACCCAGGCUAACACUUGACUUAAUGUGAGUCAUUGAUUAGCUUCUGCAGCCUCUGAUGUCCGUGCGUUUGGGUUCUUGGUGUUCUGAUAGCCAAUUAUUAUUUAUUUUUUAUCAUUACUAGUUUACUGACUGUUUUUGGCAAAGGCAUCAAGAGAACAGUUUUUAAAAACAUCUUUAUAAGAGAGGAAGAGGGUAUGAUAAAAAUGAAGGUAUCACGUUCACUGGGUCAGAAGACUGGGGUUUUCAGUCCCAGGUCUUCUAUGCUUAUGCUGAAAGGAAUUACAGGGAACAAUGCCCUGUUGAGGGGCAAAUGAUUACCCUCCUUUCAUGAUAAUGGCUUUCAUGACGUGAUGCCAUUAUAAAUUGUGUCACCAUGUUACAUGGGAUGGGGCAUUAAUGAUAACGAUGGGUUUAUCUACAAAACAUGGGUCCGGAUGGUUGGCUGCAGGGCCCUGUACUCAUUCUCACAAAUGCUGACAGGACAGGUUUUCCACACCCGCACAGGUGGAGGAGGACCUGGGAUGACUCCGGCUGGAGUGAGACAGAAGCACGAUGGUGCACAGACUACAUUACCUCUCAGGUGGAGCCAUCGUAGCUGUGUGAUAGGGUGUUGGCGCUUGGGAUACAAAUUGUCUCAAACUGUUCUGAAGUAAGAAAAAAAGGUUCUACAUGCAGCCAGCAACGGUCACAGUAGAUAAAGUCCUCUGAGACACAGGGGAAGGGUACCACUUAGCGUAAAAUCCUCAAGUCGGUGAAAGAGGUUAAAAAUACCUAGCUUACUUUGGGGGAGGAUUCGACUGAAUACUGAUGGAGUUUAUGAAAUAUGAAUACAGCGAGUCGCCGUACGUAAGUGGUAGGCGUGUGAGAAAGAAGAAGAAAUAAAAUUGUGUAUAAAUGACACUCCAAAACUUGAUGGGAUUGUAGCGUGACAGGAAUGGUGGUGUGGGAGUCCGUGCCUCACAAGGGGACAGGCAAGCAGGCUGCAAAAUCCACCUAUCAAACUUGAUGUGGGACUAAAAAUUAUAGAAUGGAAAAACCAGUUGACUUGUCUUUAUAGGCAGAGAACAUCACCAAGGAUAAACAGGGAGCAUGAAAAGAAUAGACAUGAAAUUUCCAGAAAAGGGGGUUUGGGGAAACCACACCAAAAAAAACCUAGAGGCCAAUGUUUGAAUUCAGAAUGAGGUAUUCCAACUCAGUGUUCAGAGCUCCAGGCUAUCAGCUCUCGCAGUAUUAGGUGUUGGGCUUAUAGUCAAAUGAAAGACGUGACUAUGAACUUUCAAUUGUGCAAAAGAAAUCACCUUGAUCUCCCCCAAGCACGCAAAUCUAUAUACCAGGACUCAGCUGCAUAGGAUGUCAUUUCCCUGCCUUGUUCUGAUUAAUUGACAGCCUAUGCUAUAUGCUUCUUUCCUAAAGGUGACUUUAUCAUCUCUAGGCACCGACAUGUCUUGCUGAAGUCAAGGAAGGAGAACCCACGAGCUAAAGUGUGUUUCCCUGGGUGAGGUAUUGGGGGUGGGUGGGAAAAGAAUGGUGAACUGGGGCAAGGGGCUCAUGAACAAAGAGGACAAGAUGCCAUUUGGGGCUGGGAAUUAUGGGCUGUGGGUGAAGGUGGGGCUGGAGACUCUGUGUGUCAAAGAGGUGUCAGCAAGGACUCUGACAUUUUAAAUUACCUUUAUCAAGGACACUGAAAACAAGGCACGGUGACACUUUGAGACGUUAUGACGAACUUGUUGAGAUUGCCAAUCGACAAAGGCAGGUAUGGGGAUAUUUAGAAAAACAGACGACUAGCGCUGCUCUGAAGGGCACAGAGAUCAACUUUCUGGGGCGUUGAGGGAAUCGGUGGGUGGACUUAUUGACGCUUCCAAUUAGUUUCUGAAGAACUGGACAAAGACAGAGAGGAAAGGCAGCCAGAUGUGAUCCUGAAAUAACAGAAGCAGAGAGCCUCUCUCCUCCCGUAGGAACCAUGGCAGUUCACGGACAGGAGUGAGCAAACGGGUGGAAAAGAGUGGAUCUUGAACCACAUAAGCUGGUCAGGCCUGAGACCUCUUAAAUAAACCGCGUCUCUUUUCAGUUUUCAGUUGGGAAACCAGUGGAUGAUGAAAAGGCCGUGAUGUAGUCUCUGCUCCACAGGGGCACUGGCAUGCAAUGGUGUUCUCCCUAAAAGUGCAGUGCAGGGCAGCUGAGAGGCUAGACUGCCCAUAACUCUCAGUUGCCCAGGAAAAUGAAGUAUGGAGAAAGCUAAGCUAGAUGAAAUAAUUUGACUCUUGUGAUGGCACUUGGUGUGGGCUGGCUGGCGUGACAAGUGUGGAACUGCUAAGUUUUGUGACCUCACUCCGGUUUCUCUCUCCCACUUGGGGUAAGCACACAUGGACAGAAUGUGGGAACCUGAGGGCUGUGUGCAGAACCCAAAUGCCUAACCCAGAGAGUAUAACAUUUCACAGUCAGAGAUGACAGCCAGGGAUUGGUGCCGUUCACUGAGAUUCCCCAGGACCCCCAGAGUUACUUGGAAAAUGGAAGCUAUGCUAAAAGAACUUCUGGAACAUUCUGAACUUUGCCUUUGGACCUGAGUGAGUGUGGGGCUGUACAUGAGGCGUGGGUACACACUCAUGUUGCCACUACCCCUUUUGUUGGGCAAAAUGGGAGGUUGAGAAGGUGUCCUGAGACCUCUCUGGCCCAGCUCCACCCCACUCCAGUGAAUUGGAGGCUCUUACAAACCUGUAAUACGUCUGACAUGACAUCCCCAGGCAGCAGUGAGGGUGUGACCAGAGCCCGAUCUUCUGCUCUCUCCUCUGGUACCCCUUUCUACUCAUAUGCAGGUCCUCAGAAGUCCCUGGGAAAAGAACACCAAGUCCCUACCCUCCAGGAAAGUUAUCCUGAGGAUAUUUCAAUGCAUACACAAGGUCAUCUAGCCCAGCGUGAUUCAGUUAGGAAUUAAAGUACAUAUUUAUUGUUUACUACAUUAUGUUUUUAUUUAUAAUAAAAUGUACUUAAUACAAUUAAAGUAGACAUUGAGUCUCAUGUCCUGAUUCCGUAGAAAGUCAAGCACCCGCCGUUGGGAACCUGCUGGAGCAAUGAUUCUUCCCAAGGAGGUCCUUCCUCAAGGCUGAGGUUCAGGCUGGGCUCUUGACAGAGGUAUUUCCAAGACCAGUUCUGUGAAUAGAAUGCUGCAAGGCCACAUAAACAAAACAAAAGCAAAAACAAAAACAAAAACAACCCCCAAAUCAAACAAACACCCAAAACCCAAAAACCUCAUCACAGUAGAAAACUCUUUUUGCUUGAAAAUUAUCUAUGUGCUUAUUAGUACUGCUCAUACACACAGGCCCACUGGCCCAUGGGCAGCCUUUCAGUGGCCAUUUACCUAAAGACAGGUGACCGUCAUUUGAAAGAGAGUGAGAGUGGAGUAUAGUAUAUGGGAAGGGUUGAAGGGAAGAAAGGGAAGAGAGGAAGGAUAUUAUAAUCUCAAAGAAAAACCUUUAAAACUUUUUAGAGAGUGACUCUUUAUCCUCAGGCAGCCAUUAGCUACCAACAGACGCUCAGCUUGGGUUGGGGCCUUCACAGACCCUCCCGAUCUGGCGCUGGAAUUUUUAACUGGCUCGAUCUUGCCUUGGUGUUGUGCAGGUAACCACAGCUGUUGGGAGUUCUUGAGUGCGUUAGACGUGUCAUAUCCAGAAGAGAGCAUUCACAGCAUCUACUCAUUCUCCAGCCCGUUCUUCCUGCCCCAUGUUCCUGAGCCUUGGGGGAUGGGGGAGUGAAAGUCAGGGGUAGGGGGUGGGAGGGGGGCUGUGGGGUGUUCUUAACAUGGAAGAAAGUCUAUGGUUUAUUCCAAAUGAAAAGUAACACCAUUCACUGCAGCCUACAGAGAAUUGUAUCUUUUUUGUUUUUGUAAAAAAGAAGUUACAGUGUAUACAUGAAUGUGUAUAUGUAUAUAUUAAAUACAGUUAUAUCAAUAAAGGAACUUGGACCCACAUUAAAUGAAAUAAUAAAGUGCUCAGGUGUAGGUGUUGGCAUUAUCUGCUUUUCUUUUUUCUUUACUGAGGUUCCUGAAUUAGGAAUGUACAUUUUAAAAAAAUUAAUUAAUUUAUAUCCCAAACAUAAUUGUAUAAUUUUUGUAGUGGAAAAUAAUAGUUUUUUUUCCUUCUAAAAAGAUGGUGUGUUGUGAAACUGGGGGUGCAUUGAAGACUCUAGUUCUGAACUCAAGAGUCUUACAUAGCAUUCCAUGCUGUUUCAGAAUCAUUUGGGUUAAUUCCUCUAUGGAACAAGACAAGUUGAAGGUCAUUUUCUAGAAAAGGGGCAUCCAGCUUGAUCUUAAGAGGGUUCAGGUUUGGGAAUUCCUUAGCCUUUGAAAUUCUUGUGGCUCAAUGCCCAACGAACUAUGCAAAUUCUAAACCACUUCGAGAGUGUGUUUGCACUGCACACACACACACACACACACACACACACACACGUGCGCAUGAAUACACAUGUACACCAGGUAUGCAUGAAUACACAUGUACACCAGGUAUGCAUGAAUACACAUGUACACCGGGUAUGCAUACACAAGCACAUAUGUACAGGUGCACACAUACUCACACAAAAGCUUUUCACAUAAAGUAUUUGCACUCAUCUGAGCUUCACUGUUAUUUUUGUUUUCUUAAAAUACACAUCAUGGCCCUGAGAAUUAGCUUCAUUACAUUAUUGAGGAGAUGUUUCUUAUAAAUAUCAAGAGGCCUGUCCUGGGUGGGGGGUAAGUAGAGACAUUGUGGGGCCUUGGCAUGGGAUGGGAGGGGGAAGGUCUUCACAGCAACUCAAGUGGAGCUCCAGGAGCUGCUCAUUAUGAUCUGGAGGAGGACAAAUAAUAUAAAUACUCAUUAUUAUAGUCACACCAUAUCUUGAUGCCAUUUUUAGCAUACACUUGUUAUUAACCUAUUACAUGUAUGAGUGCAUCUGCCUUAGACUGGCUGAGAAUACAAAUUCUGGGAUUCCCUCUUCUGUGUGGCGUAGAGCAGACAUGUGAGAGCACAUGGUUGCGUUCCUUUUAUGUGUAUGAAUGUUCUGUUUGCAUGUGUGUCUGUACGCCACAUGUAUACCCGGAAUCCAGAAUAACAAAUCAAAUCCAGUGGAACUGAAGUUACGGACAGCUGGGAUCUACCACAUAGGUGCAGGGAAUUGACCCCUGGACCUCUACAAAAAGUGGUCAGUGCUCUUGACUACUGUUUCAUUUCCCCACCCUCUGGUGUAGCAUUUCUUUAACUCAACAGAUAUCUCCUAGGGCCUUUCUCUGGGCCAGUCACUGUGAUCUAGGCAGCCAGCAAGGAAGCUGGAUUCCUGCCUUGCUGAACUUUCCGUUCUGGUGGGAAUGUCCCUCACUCUCACCUGACACUGGACACCUCAGAGGAUUGUUCCUCCUGGUGUGUUUUGCCUGCUUGACUUCUAUGGCUUGUAUGUCUUUCUCUCUUCCCUCCUCCCACCCUUUCCCCUGUCCUGUCUCCUCUCUUCUUCUCAGACCUUCUGUAGAUCCAGAUAACAUCCACCCUCUUAGCCCCACAGUUCCCAAUAGCCCUGUUUUUCAGAUACUGGUUGCAUGGACCAAGGACUCCUUCAACCAUUGUGUGACCACUUCUCCUAGUUCCUUAAAGACUCUCGUCAUCUUCUCGCGUCAUUUCCUUUUUUGUGAGCCUAUUCUCCACAUGACCAGGAACACAGUCUAUAUUCUUACCUUUACACAAUGUCUUAGGUAAAGUAGAUCCCUGUUGGGCAGAUAUUCAUUCCCAUGUCACUCCACAAAGUUCCCCCAGCUUAGUGCUUCUCAAUGGCCUGUCCAUCUUCAGUGUUCUUGGGCUUCAGUAAAGUUUGGAGCCAGUUGUAUUAAUUUGCUCCAUGUCUGUCUCUAUUGGAUCCAUUGUUUCCCUCCAUCCCAUCCUCAGGGUUAAUCCAGACCCAAUCACUUCAGAGCAAAUUGCUCACGUUUAGAGACUGAGUACACAUACCUGGUUUGUUGUGUGUCUGCCAGAAGUGAGUGACAGAGUGAGGUCUGUGCUGUGCUAACUGUGUGUCCUAAGUGAGUUCAUUAUGCUGAAAACUGCCGAGGGUGAUGUUUCUCCCCUUGCUGCAAUGACCACUCCUGGUGCUGCUUGCCAAGUGCCUCUCAGCAGACCUUGGAAACAGUGUGUGUGGCUCUGAUGGUGGUAGUGACCAUGGCUGACACAGUGCUGUAGGUUCCCUUGCAUCUGUCUCCUUCUCCCACUCAGGUCUUGAACAUUUCCUGCUUGGUUCUGUGAAGUGAGCAUGACUCCUAGGGGCUUCAGUGAAGGUCCUGACAUCUCCUCGUGGCCAGUUCUCUUCCUGGGACUGGAUGUACUCCCUAUCAUUCAGCUGGGCCACCAUGGGCUGGAUCUGCAAAAAGGGCAUGUGACUGGAGUUGAGUCCCUUCAGCUAAUGUUAGGUUCCCUCAUGUUACCUCUCAGACCUUCUGGGGGACCUUAAGCAAGUCCAUGCCUACUUGUUUCCUCCCUGUAGCACCAGUCUUCCCAUAGUCCCCACUGGCCUUUGCUCUGCUUCAGGCAUGCAGGCUGGGAUAGCUCCAUUUUUCCUACUGGCCAAACUGAUGCUUUCUCUUGCUUCAUUUCUCACGGUUCCUCACCCUCCCUUCCCUUUUACUCAUGGACUCCUCCCUGUCUGCAGCGGUUCCAUUCAACUUGUUUUUCUGUAAUAUUCCACUCUGGUGACUGACUGCAGAGUCUUUAAAUUGUAAUAUCAUAAUUUACGUGCUCUUUGCAAGCAAUACUCUCAGAGACUCCCAACCUGUCUGCAUUCCUGUUACAGUAGCACAACUGAUAAGCAGGCAGCAUGAGAAGUAGUGAUGGGUACCACAGUGGUCCCGGGGAAACCCAGGAAAGUAACAUUAGCAGGAGCAGAGGGCAUGCCUCUGGAUUAUAGCAUCUUUUCUUAGAGAAUCAAUUCCACUUGCCAAGGGUCUUUAUUGAUUUUGCUUGUACUUGGACCAGGAUAGGUCAAAGUCACAAGCGGAAGAGACAUGGCAUGCUCGAGGAAGUGAGGGGUGAGCAGAACCCCAUCUUUCUCCAGGAUGCUUUGUGUUUGAUACACUGCUUGGCUUUUACAGACUUUUAAUUGGCACCGUGAUUAGGUGGCUUUAUUUCUUCAUUCAAACACAUUGGAAGCUGAUCCUAAUAUUCAGUGGUAAUGGAAAUAGAGUAAUGCUGUAAUAACUGUUCCAUUGUAAAGCAAAUUACACCAUUAACAUCUCUUUUGUCUAAUUUGUGUUGGUGAUAGUAUGGGACCACACACACACACACACACACACAGAGAGAGAGAGAGAGAGAGAGAGAGAGAGAGAGAGAGAGAGAGAGAGAGAAUAGCUGGUAUUUAAGAAAUAAACUAAACUAGCAAAGAGAACUUCUAUUCCUAAACUAGUCAGGAAAAGAAUGGUUAAUAUAUAUAUAUAUAUAUAUAUAUAUAUAUAUAUAUGUAUGUAUAUAUACAUACAUACACAUACAUAUAUAUACACACAUAUAUGUAUAUUUACAUAUUUACAUACAUAUACAUUCAGGUAGAUGUACACAAAUGUAUGUGUCAAGUACCUGUACACAUGUUUAUAUGCAGAUACAUAUAGGCACAUGCACACAUACAUGCGUGUCAAGCAGAUGGAGAAUACAGUAGAUUGUACUGGCAUGAAAGACUUGGCUGUGCUGCCUUUAAUGAACCCAAGCCCUAGCCGGCAGGCUGCAGCUUGGUUAAGCUAGUGAUGGCACCAGCUUUCGUUCUUACUGUCACAACCUGAGGACUUCGAUCCCGAGAUUCUCAGGAAGGUUGGUCAUUUUCCCCUUGCCAUCUGCCCCACCCCCAAGGAAAGUGCCACAAUUUGUGUGGCACAAAGAUAGAAGCAUAUUUUCGUGCAUUAAGUCAUAGCUAAUCCCUGAGGGCGGAAAUAGGAUCCAGGGAGGCAGAAUUCAAUGUGAUUUCCCCAUUGGGACAUGUCAAUUAAGAGCCUAAGUGAGUAGGUUCCUGUGACUGUGUCCCAGCCCCUGACUUUGCUGUGUGGGGUCUGUGUAUUGGAAUGAACCUGGUUCCAAUACCUAGGCUGGUAUCUCUAGGGAGGUCUUAAACCCUUUCCUGACUGGUUUCCUCUGGGUUGCUGUCUCCAGGGCUUCCAUCUCUAAGUUCUUAGGAACCCAGAAGUUCUGGGACACUACAGCAAGGGGCACCGAGAAGUCUCUUACCUGCCCUUCACUCUUGGGGUUUCUUUGACAGCACUGUCAACUCUGCCCCCUGCUAAUCUGGCACCCCAGAAAGACCUUAUCCGGAGAACUGAGAUUUUUAUGCAGUUUAGAACACACUUAACUUUCAUAGAUAGAACGCCUGCUCUCAUGACCAAAUUAUUUGAAGAAAAUCUGCUUUAUAAACAACUGCACGGUACCUGUAUCUGAAAUCGAGAAUGUUGAUUUUUAAACUCCUGGAGGAUGUAAAUCAGAAGGAAGGCAACAUCGAUGCCUGGCAUCUGGAUUAAGAAUAUAGUUAGUGGAGAAAUUUAUUGCAAUCCUCCAUGAGAAAAUAUCAAUAUCAUCUUGUGCCUAAUAAAAUGUUAUAAUGAAAAUUACCACGGAGCUUGACAACAUCUCUUUAUUAAUUGGCCUUUUCCAUGAUUAUUUUCUUAGUAGCGAAUGCACUCUGCUUUCCUGGCUCAUUAGUCAUAAUCCACGGCGAAUUCACAGUUUGUUGCUCCGCUAUGAUUGUCUUCCCUUGGGCUCAGUCCCUCUAGAGCAGGGUUGUAGAUUUUCUACGGUGUGUGGCCUCACAGCUCUGUACCAUUUACUCCUGCACCCAUGGAACACCCUCGGGGUGCCAAAGACAGGACUGCAGCUCACUGUGAGAAGGUCAGCUGACAUAAACCUGGGAUCAAGCAAAAGACAAUAUUCUUGGAAAGAUUUGGCUUUUGUUUUUAGACCAGGAUAUAGUGUAGUCCAGGCUGGCCUCAGUUUUGCUACUUAGCUGAGCAUGACUUAGAACUUCCGGUCCUCUUGCUACUACCUCUCAGUGUUGGGAUCACAAGCCACACCCAGUUUAUGCAGUGCUGGGCAUUGAACCCAGGACUUCCUGUGUCACAGACAGACCUUGUACCAAUUGAGCAACAUCGCCAUCCUGGAAACCAGCUAUUUCAAAGUGGCGUCACGGGUUGUCCUUUUGAUUCAUCAAGUGUUUAUUGAUCCCUGACUCGGUGCCAAGUCCCAAGUUGGUUAAUGAAGGAACGAAGGUGAACACUGGGGGAAGCAAUGGGAGGGAAAGACACAUUAACUCGUUUUUUAAAAAGUGCACAGAGAGGUCAAGGAACCCAUUAACAAAAAUGUAACAGUGUGGAGAGGAGAGAGAGAGAGAGAGAGACAGACCAGGAAGGGUUUGCUGAUGUGGGUGAUGUACCUGGGUUUGAGGGGAAAUGGGGAGAUUUUUCUAGGUAACGUGGAAAAGUAUGGCAGGCUGAGGGGGUCACAGUGCUGAUGGUUCAUUCAUGUCAUGUGGAUGAGGUAUUGGUUAGACUUCAGGAGGAGGAUGUUGGUGAGCAGCAGGAAGUAGGGGCGGAGAAAGUGGGCUGGGGCUGACUGAGGCCUGCUGGACUCUUUCCUCUAUCAUAAAACACUGAGUAGAUGGAAUGUGUUUGAUUUCUUUCUGGUAAAUUCCUGAGGCAUAAGUCUGUGGAGGUGGAAAGUUGACAGUGCAGGCCCCAGCCUUAUCAGAUACCCACUGAGGCAAUUCUGCAGGGCCAGGACUUAAAGGAGGCAGGAGGCAGGAGGCAGGAUGCAGGAGGGUGGAAUCUAAGGUCAGUUUCCCAAGUACAGGAUGGGGGUAGGGUGAGGGGAGCAAGUGGAUUCUGGAAGGAGGGGCUUUCGGGGCAGAGUUAUAGGCUGGGACAGUUUCGUGGGUUGAGGAUGCAUAUGGAGGAUGAUGUGUUCAAUUUGGAGUGGGAUAGGUUGGAGGUGCCAGAGAAACAGCUUGAUGGGCAGCUGGAAGAAUGGUUAACAGAGAACAUAAAAUGGUAUGUUACAUAUGAGCUUAGGGAACACGAGAGAAAGACCUCAGGAAGGGCCUAGAACCUAGGUAAGCCAGGUUGUAGACAGAAAGCAUAACUCUGGGCAGGACUGCCAAACAGCCAUGGAAGACUAAAUCUUUAUGACUAAGCGGUCCAGGGACCAAAUGCAUGUGGCUGGCUGGGAAGUCGAAGGUUGUAUGUGGUUACCAGAGGACAUCAAAGGUAUCUCUAACAUACUGGAGACACGGCAGCUGGAGAGAGGGCUCAGCAUAUAAGAGGCUCACUGCACAAGCAUGGGGAACUGAGUCCUAAUCCCAGCAGCCACAAAAUGCACAUGACGGAGCAGCUGUCCAUAAUCCCCCAAUUCUCUGGCCAGCCAGCUUAAAUGAAUCUCUGAACUCUAGGUUCAGUGAGAGAGAUGGAUUGAGGAGGACUUGUGACUUCAGCCCCUGGCCUCCAUGCCCACAUGCACAUGCAUAGCCUCCACACACACAACCAAAACUGGAGUUCCUCCAUGCACUUGGAAACAGCAGGAAUGUCUGUAAUGCCAGAGUCAGGGUCAAGUUGCCUUUGAGUCUCUUCUGCUUCGAUGGUGAUCCCUUCCUGAUUCCUAAUUGAUGAGUGAAGAAUUGCUGCCUCCCCCCGACACUGCCUCCGACUUUCUACACAGCCCGGCAUUGAUUUAUCCUGUCUCUAAAGGGAAUCUGCCUUGCACUUGGCAGAGCCUCAAGGCUGGAGAAGUUGGAUGAAUAGCAGCUUUGCAGAGGUCUCUGCGCUGCCUGGGGAGAAUGGCUGUGUGGGAGAGAAAGUUGAAAGGGGGAGCCCGAGAAAGGGUGUGAGACCUUCAAAGGAUGCAGCUAGCCAGGGGACACACUCAAUGGAAAAUUUUCCUUUAUGGUUAAUCCAAAAAAAGAAAGGGAAACACAGAAGAGUGUGUUGGUCAGGGAGACAAUAUUGGGUGUAAUUUUACUGAGGGCUCCAUUGUUGUGUGGUUUGGACACCUACUGUUUUUUCGGGUCUGUCUGUCUCUGACUCUGUGUGUGUGUGUGUGUGUGUGUGUGUGUGUGUGUGUGUGUGUGUCCAAAUGAAAACCCAGUUGUUGGUCCUAGCUCCUUUAAAUAUUGCUAUCACUCUGGGCUAGGCUCGCCUCAGUGAGAUCCAGGGUUUCACCUGUCCUCACUUCCCAUGCUGUGAUGCAUGGCUCGUGCAUACAUAACAAGCAUUUUACUAACUGAACCACCAUCCCUGCCUCUGUUUUCCAGGGUCUUUUAGAUGGGCAACAGCCUUUGGAAGUCUUGGCAGAAAGAUGGUCCUCGUCCCAGUCCCAGGAGGGUCUAAGAAAGUGUUACGUAAUUAUCAGGGGGACCUGUGGAGUUCAAACCGGCCAGAGACUCAUUGGCUGACCUCGCCUUAACUCUAGUUACUGCCAGGAGGGGUUAGCCUUGUGAAGAGCCAUAGCCUUCUGGGACACACUAUUGUUUUCAAUGAGCUCUGAGAGAAUGUCCUCCCAUCCACGUCCACUCCUGUGUCACAGGAGUUACUUGUGUUAUCUCUGCGCUAUGAAAUUAGAGGCCUUUGCCCACAGUGUGCUAAGUAGAUUAAAGGAAAGCCUGUUUUGUAUGGUGUAGGGGAAAACCAGGCAGAUACCAGGGAAAUAGCACUCGGGUGUUUGAUCUGACAGUGGGGAGGCCUCGGGAAGCCGGUGUCUUCUUAUAUCUGAAAGCUGAGCUCUGGCUGGAGUUUUCUUCAAAGGGGUUUAUAUUUUAUCUGUUGGCACUGUGGGGAGAGGGUCUGCCAUGGGUGAUGCGGGUGUCCUUCCUUCCUGUUGCUGUUUUCUCCUCUGCCUUUUUAACUUUGCAGAAAGCCUCCAGGUCAUACACUAGACCCUGCUCAGGACAUCACUGACCAAACAGUCCCCUUUUGUUAGGCCAACGGUCUAUUUUUUUUCCCCCUCUUGAAAGGUGCCCUUCAGGACAGCAGAGCCUUUCUUUGGGCUGUUUAUAAUUGAGCCCUGAGGAAACCUAAACAGAAUUCAGUCUCAACCCAAGCCAAGUGCUUCCUUCGCCUACUUAGACAAAGCUAACCCCACGCAGGAUGAAAUCUCACCAGCUGGUGACCGGAGAAGCACCUUGGGGAGCUCUCAGUGUGACUUUUCUCCCUGGCCACCAUCCCACAAGUUACUGAAGGCUGAGGGCCAGGCCUCAGGGUGCUGAGAGGCUAGAAGAGAAUCGUGGCUCUUGGUGAGGGAGGGUAGGCUGGGCUGUGUCUGUCAGCCUGAGGAGCUCUGAGGAUUUCUGUUUGGGAGAGUCUCUCAGCACUGGAAGACGAGUUGCCUUAUCACAGUGCAGUGUAAAAGAGACCUCUUAUUUGUUGUUUAAACUUUUAAUUAAGUUCAAAUGUUUAUUUGUCCUUUCAGAAAAUGGUUUACUUACUACUUAUUUAUUGAUACUAGCAGGGCCUCAUUCUAGCUUAGGCUAGCCCAGGCUGACCUCAACUUUGUGGCAGUCCCCCUGCCUCAGCUUUCCAGUGUUGAUUACAGGUGUGAAUCACCACUCUCUGCUACCUCUCCUCCUCUUCCUCCUCUUCCUCUUUUCCUUUCUUCCCCUUCCGGCUUUCUUUAAGAUGAAACUGUCUGUAGUUUUAGGCUACACAGCUUCACUUCCAGCAUAGCUGUACCUGUCUGUUUUCUGCCAACACCUAGGUAAGCUGGGUUAGUUGAAGAAAUUGGGAUUUGAUAACUUAGAGGUCGUGCAGUUUGAAGGUUAUGCUACUUUAUUCUGUAAUAAUGGGCAUGGGGUUAAACUCUGUGAUUUGAAGCAGAAUCUUUUCCCACCCCCAAAUGGUCUGAUUUAGUGUGGAGAUUAAAUCUCGCUCCUUUCUGUUCCAAAUUUUCUCCCCACACCAGAUAUGGACUAAUGGGUCCUUUGGGGUGACUGAGGUGAAAGGCAGAAAGAAGCUGGGCUUUGCCAGAGAAAGAGAAACUGGCCAGAAACCAUCUAAUCCCUCCACCCAUUGAGCCUCUCUAGCACGAGACUGCUGAUAUAUUUAAUAUCUGAGCUUCUUCAUGUGUGGGUCACUGAAGCCCCCCAUCCUUUGUUAGUCCUGUGGUCUUCCCAAAUUUCCAGAGAAAGCAAUAUUUGCUUCUUUGAGGCAAUAUUUGCUCCAAGAUCAUGGGAUCAAUCAUCUGCCAGUCCUCUUGAACAUUCAAAUCCCCAGGAGAGGGGCAGUUUGAGGAGAGACAUUGUUUAGAGGCUGAGGUACAUUUUCAGAAGUUAGGGCCUGGUUCUACAACAGGGAAGUCGAGCUAAAUAUGCAGUUCUAUUUUCAUUUUUGCUCGGUGCUGAGGCGAAAGUGUCAGGAGAUAGACCGUAUGUGCAUAAAAACGUCAGUGCGCAAGCGGCCCCUUGCAAGAAGCAGAACGAGGAAUUCUGGGUAGUUCUACCCCUAUUCCAGGCUAAUGUGCCCAAUUGCCUUCCUAAGGAAGGAUCCUCGCGCAACCACUUAACCUGGUUAACUAGUAGAUUAUAGGAGAGCUGCAGACCACAAAGGAGGUCUGUGGUUUACUGUGUCAGUACAGCUGCUAUAACAAAAUGCCUCAGGCUGGUAGUUGAAGCAACAUCUGUUUUCCAACUGUUCAGAUUUUACGCUUCCUGGCUUGGAGGUGGCCACAUCUUCUUUCAGCUGUCACGUGGUGGAGAUGGGGGUGGAGCCACUGUACCUCUUACUAUUUUUAUUUUUGUUCUUUGUCUGUUCAUAUGUGUGCAGAUACAUGUACACAUGUGCACAGACCAGAAGUCCUCCUCGGGUGUCAUUCCUUAUCAGCCAUCCACCUUGAUUUUUGAGACAGGGUCUCUCUCUCUCUCAAGCUCUUGAGUAAUCCAGGCUGGAUGCUCAGCAAGCCCCAGGGAUCCACAUGUCUCUGCCUCCCCAGCCCAGGGAUGGCACGCGUUACACACAAAACCUGUUUUUUCAGUGGGCUUAUAGGGGGUUUCUAGGACUCAAACUUCAUGCUUGUGUGGCAAUCACUUUACUAACUGGGCCAUUGCCACCCCUAGCCCUCCCUCCCACUUCUAAGGGUAGUAUCCUAUUCUGAUGGGCUCAAAGACAUGGCUUUAUCUAGUUCUAUUUAAGUCUCAGGUACUCCAUUCAGUACUGCCUACAGCUACAACAUAGAUGUUUGUGGGGGUCUAGACCUUUAGGGCAUAUCUUGACCAUUUUCGAAGUGCACACACAUAAUUUCCAAAGUGUUGGCUCUUUCUUGUUUGUUUGUUCAAAAAGCAGAGUAUUUUGCAUUAUGAUCCUGUAUCAUUUGAUAUCUGUUAGUGAAUUCCAAGGCAGUCGAAGUUAUAUUAUCAUUUGUUUUAAAUUAGAGUUAGUGAUUUAUUUUUGAUUUCUUUUCUGGUAAUGUGGUGACGGGUUCCUUUAUAUUCUGCCUAAUUGGGCUGCAUUUUAAUUUUGUGGCAAAUGGAGAAUCUAUUUUACAUUUCUUCUGGUAGACUGACAAGCCCGAGGCUGGGUCUGAAAUAGGGAGUUUGCAGUAGGGACCGACUGAAGCUGUGAGCCUCUUAGAGUUGUCUAUGCUUCUUAAAGUCCUGACCCAUCCAUCUUUUAGGGUCAGGUAGGAGACAUAUCAAUGGAAGACUCUGCGAGGAUAAUAGAUUAAAAUCUCGAAGCACCAAGAUAAGCUGUGAAUAGCCAAACCAUGGGAUAUUGAGAAUAAGGUCUAUUCCACAAACUUAUACCUUUGAUUCAGGCACAUCUGCUUGUGUGUCACCAGUGCCUAUGGUGUUGAUGUAAUGCAAAAUAAUAAAGGUUAAGCUUGCCCAGGACAAGCCCUGGGGACACCUGGAUUCCCAUCACAGCUUAGCUCUUCGUUGUAAGUGGCCCCAGUCAGUGUCUUUUCCCUAAGAGGCCCUACCUCUUCCACAGUAAGGAGAUGUGCAGAGGUGUGACUUCCUGAGAGCUCUGAUGUUCUGAGGCCCCAUGACCAAGAUCCCACUUACUUACAGAACCAUAAAACAUCGACACUUCCUUUUGAUAAUCGUUGAGACACAAUUUGAAAUUGCUCCCUCUUAAGAGUGGACUGACCCUGGACUCUGACCUCAUAGGUAGCAAUGCAUAUCCUAGUAAGAGCACCAGUGGAAGGGGAAGCCCUGGGUCCUGCUAAGACUGAACCCCCAGUGAACUAGACUGGUGGGGGGAGGGCGGCAAUGGGGGGAGGGUUGGGAGGGGAACACCCAUAAGGAAGGGGAGGAGGGGAGGGGGAUGUUUGCCCGGAUACCGGGAAAGGGAAUAACACUUGAAAUGUAUAUAAGAAAUACUCAAGUUAAUAAAAAAAAAAUUUGAAACAAAAAAAAAAAGAAACAAAAAAAAAAGAAUGUUAGCCCAGAGAUCAAAAGUAAUGUCUUCUGUCUUUUGCUUAUUAGUCUUUGUCAUUAUGCUUUUAAUUUCAAAAGAUGUUUUAAGUGUGUAUAUUUGUUCUUGACUAGCAUCAAUACUUAAGUGUCAGUAAAUCAAAAUAUAAAGCAAAAAAAAAAAAAAGAGUGGAGCCAUAAUGUUUUAGUAAAUUUGCAGGAUUUCACUUCUACCUCAGUGUACUUGGAUGUUCAUAUCAUGCCGAGAUGGUACCUUGUUAUGUCUCUUAUUACCUCCCCACACCCCGCCCUGGCCUGUGACAGCUGUUAAAUCGUCACUGUUUCUAGACAUUUCAGUGAAAUUGAAUUAUGUAAAUUGUAGUCUUUGGAUCUGGCUGAUUUCACUGGCAUGGUACUUUUAGGACUCUUAUGUGACAUAGGCUGUAUCAGUAUAGGUUGAAUAACGUAUGUUUUUAAAAAAGUCCCAAAUCUAGGUUUUUCAAAAUUUUAAAUAUUCAUGUAGACUUUACUGGCUUUGCAUUCCUCAUCCACAAGUUUCAGAUUUUCACGUUGGAGAUGUUGACUUUCCUCUUUUAGUGAGUGGCCAAUGAUUUUCUGAUCCCUCCAUAACUGGCGGGCUCCUUUUUCUAUGUGUUCUAUUCUGAGGUUCACCCAUUCUCAUGAUAGCCUUGUACACAUCCACAAAGAACUCAUAAGAUGUCUUCUAGAUAGUGCCAAGGUCUUUACUCUAUGGCCUGCUCUUUCAGGAAGGACUAGAAAUUUGCGUUUUUAACUAUUUAAGACCUUUCAAGGGCAUAGGCUGGAGUGUGGCUAGGCAGCUAUGCUCGUGUUGGUGUGUUUGCAAUCAGGUUCCUCUGUAAAGUUCAGGAAGGUUGAACCUAAUAGGUACCAUGGAUGUGCACACAUAUGAAUAUGGGUGCAUAUGUGUAUUUAUUUGUUUGUUUGAGUAAGAUUUCAUGUAGCCCAGGCUGGUCUUCAACUCACUGUAGAGCUGAUGAAGUCCCGAAACUUCUGAUUUCCCUAGCUCUAACUCCUGGGUGCUGGGAUUACAGAUGUGCACUGCUGUGCCCAUUUAUGUGCUUCUGUUCAUGCUAGACAAGCAGUGUACAAACUGUGCUACAUCUCUGGCUCUGGUGGUAUAUACUGUAUACAUACAUUAUGCAUGUAUGUACAAUACAUAAGUACUAUUUGUACAACACACACACACACGCACACACACUCACACACACACUCACACACUUCUCAGCCGUAUAAGAGGAUCUACCCCAUGGAAAGCAGGCACCAGCUACAGUCUUAUUGAGCAUGGUAAUUGUAGACGAUAUCAGUACUAUCCUUGGGAUUUAGAAGUUUGACUGUUAGUACACCUUGUUCUGUCUCCUGGGAAAGCUGAUUCUCAACUUCAUCCAUGUGGGGGUAUUGACGAGAGAUGGCCAAACCCAGACAUUCGACAAGUAAGCAUGAAUACUUCCCCGUGACUCUACUGAGGCACUGGGACACUGGACAGAGGUGCCCGCGUGCUGCCAGACUGCCCGGAGGACCAGCUGUGAUUGCACCUGGUUUUCCUCUCCCAAAGUUUGAAAGAGGGAACUUUUUCUUCUCUCUGUCAGGAAGGAACUUAUUAGAAAAUGAGAUGUGCUGGGGGCGGGGGGAGCACUGUUUGCUGUGAGAGGAGGAGGGAGAAGCUUGGUGUCCUCUCUCUCAGUUGUGAGCAUAUCAUCACAGCACAGCAGUGAGAGGAGGAAGAGAAAGAGGAGGAGGAGGAGGAGGAGGAAGAGGGUGUGUAGGAGCCUGUGUCUGAGUGGGGAGAACCGAGGAUGGCUACCUUGAAUUGAUACCGUGUUUUCCAGGCUUGCUUGCACGGCUUCUGCUUUAUAAUAUUAGUGACUGUGGUAGCAUCCACAGCCCCUCUUGACACUGUUGCUGGAGGUCCUACACACACACACACACACACACACACACACACACAAGACCUUUAUUCUGUUUAGCACAUGUUUAUAAUCCCAUGUCUUCACUCCUAUGCCCUGUGGGCACUGAAAAAGGAGCUAAGGUCCCACAGAUGAACUAACAUGCUGUUCAUGUCCUGUGUGUGUUUAGAAAAGCAAUUAUUCUUUACUUGAGUGUGUGACCUGAGAUCUGAUAGGGUCCCGUCCUUAUGAUGGCCCACUUACUCCUCCUUGACUUUAUUGCGGGAACUUGGAACUCUCAGUGCAGCCCUUCCAGCUCUAUCUGUGUUCCUAGGAAGCAGAGCUGCAACCUCUCUAUUGCGGGUAAGACUGAGGGGGACCUGGUGAGCUGCUUAGUCUGAAUUGAGACCAUUGCUCCCAGGCAUGGGACAGGGUUCUUACUGUACCAUCUACUUCUGUCGGGAGUCCCAAAUGUUUCUACACCAUAGCUCCAGCCUCCCAGGUUCCUUGGCGCCUCUGUUUAUUUCUUUCUUCACUUUUAGAGGCAGAAGGCAGCCGGCUGAGGGAGCCGCUCCCUGGAGCUGUGGUGUGCAGCGGAGUCACCUGAAGAUUGUCUCACUACUUUCUCUUUCCCCAGGCUGUUCCUGUGGCAGCUUCUCCAUCUUUCUAGAGGCUGACUUCCCCUUCAUUUCCUAGCUCUCCUGUUGUCCUUCCCUGGCCUGAGAAGCCUCGUGCCAGAGGGCUGCUUGAGACUUAACUCUCUUCCUCGUUGCCUUGGCAGACUUCCGGCCACCUAGAUAAAGCAUGACUCUGGCCUUGAAGCAGAGAUCCUUGGAUACCUUCUAACAAGUCACUUGAGUAGAACGUUGAGAACAACCUGUGAUUGUGGCUUUGCGGACGCCUGCAUGGUGGGCUCUGAAUAUUAAAACUAUGAACACAGGGGCUGCAUCUCCAGAACUGCCCCAGCAGCUAGCCCAGUGCCAGGCAGCCCCACCAGGAGCUGUUAACAGAGAAGUUGCUGAACUUGGCCUUGGCGGAGGCCUGGCUUUAUUCAGCCAGACUCUCUGAGCUUGCUGCCCCUUUCUGGAAGGGCAGGAUGACUAGCAAACACCCAUCCCUGGUGAGGCACAGUGGUAUUCUGGGGACAGGAUUUGGCUCAGUGGAGGCUGAACACCACCAGAGCAGUAACAGUGCUGACUGGCACACUAAAGCUUUUAGAUUGAAAAGCCGGGACAGAAUGUUCAGCUGGAGCCGGGGGACUUUUCUAUUCCUACUUCAGCUCUGCUGCUAAGCCUUGGGACUGAUUGGAAAAAUGCUCACUGCGGGAUUUGGCUAGCCAGGAUUUUAUGGGUAUUUUUCUUAGAUUUACUCAGGCGUAGUCAGUCACUCUUGCUGUCCCUCUCAGUGUGUGAAGGGCUGCAGGCUGUUCAUCUUUCCUCACUGAGGAACUCUGUGGUAUCUCAGAGAACACUGCCCUCCUCACUGACAUACUGAUGUGGAUGCCCUUGCCAAAGUGCUCUUGGCAAAACAAAAGCAGAUCUUGUGGAUCACCUCUUUGCUUAAAGCACUGGGGUUGGGGCUGGGGCCGGGGCUAGGGCUGGGGCUGAACUGGUAGAGCACUUGGCUAGUGUACAGGAGGAGUCCUUGGGUUUGAGUGACAGUACAACAUAAACCAAGACUGGUGACAUAAGCCUGUAGUCCCAGUACUCUGAGAGUGGAGGCAGGAGGAUCAGAAAUUCAAAACCAGCCAUCUUCAGCUACAUAGUAAGUUUGAGGCUAUCCUGGAAUAUGCAAGAUCCUCUCCCUUUCCUCUCUCUCUCUCUCUCUCUCUCUCUCUCUCUCUCUCUCUCUCCCUCCCUCCCUCCCUCCCUCCCUCCCUCCCUCCCUCCCCCUCUGUGUGUGUGUAUGUGCGUAUGUGUAUCUGUCUCUCUGUAUCUCUGUAUCUCUCUGUCUUUCUGUCUCUCUGUCUAUCUUUCUCUGCCUCUGUCUCUCUGUCUCUGUCUCUAUCGCUCUCUGUGUGUAUGCACGUAUGUGUCUGUUUCUCUGUCUCUGUCUGUCUGUCUUUCUUUCUCUCUCUCUCUCUCUCUCUCUCACACACACACACACACACACAGAGAGAGAGAGUCACACAGUCACACAGUCACACAUACAUAUGUAAUCCCAUCUAAUCCAGGCUCUUCACCACGGCCUGUCUCACCGGCUCUCCCCAUUGGCCACAUUAUAUUCUGCACCUCACACACACCAUGCCUCCCCAUCUCCCAUGCCUUACCAGACCUUCUUGCCAUCCCGAUCUUAAUAAGCAUUUAUGCUCUUCUCCCUGAGUCCCAGGGACUUUGAGUACUGAGGAGCCAACAGCACAGUGAAAACCAGGCCUUUGCAUGCCAGGGUUCGUGUUCCUAGGUAGCUUGUAACCCUCUGUCUGUUGACCUCAGCUGGAACCUGCUUCUCUCAGGGCACUUCCCACCUGGGUCAGAUAUAAUCUCCUUGUUCUUCAAUUCACCAGUAACUUGCCUGAAUCGGCUGUCAAACUGGAAGCAGAGAAAUUUCUACCUGGCACACAGUAGGUGCUCAAUACAAACCCGUGGAAGAAAAGAAUAAAGGCUACUUUUAACACUAAAGGGCACUAUGGACCAAAAAAUGUCUUCUUUAAGCAAUCAUCUUGAACAACAUUUGCUCCCCUUUGUGAAGAGCUUUGCAGUGGCCCUUGCCCAGCAGGCGGCACCCGCUGUUGUGGUGACAAGUUUGCUGUCAGUUCCAUUGUCCAUCCUUCUAGGGGAAUUUGUCUUCCUGCCUGCUUUUAUGAUUGCAUUUUUCACUGGUGUUCUGCAGGGUCACCAUCUUAUGUUUAGGAUGAGUUGAUGUGCUCCAUUCAGGAUUAAUGGAUUUGAUAUGCUUAUCCACUCUGAUAACUCCCACUCUCCUCUUAAUCUGGAACAUUCUUAGAUGGAGCCUCCUUCUCUUUUUCUGAAACUCCAAUUGGCCAUGUAAAUAAUCUUAUCUAACUCCUCUUCAUUUACACACACACACACACACACACACACACACACACACACACACACACACACUGAAGGGGCAGUGCUUUCACAUAUGAGUGACUGAUAUGGGUACCAGUCUGCACCAAGACAGAGGACUUGAGUGGAGGGUGCUGUUUGGUGGCAGAGGACCUGGCUAGUCUACAGAAAGCCAGGAGCAAUCCUGGCACUGAAAAAGAAGAAGGAAAGAAGGAAAGAAAGAAAGAAAGAAAGAAAGAAAGAAAGAAAGAAAGAAAGAAAGAAAGAAAGAAAAGAAAGGAAGGAAGGAAGGAAGAAAGGAAGGAAGGAAGAAAGGAAGGAAGAAAGAAAGAAAAAAAGAAAGAAAGAAA